GUGAAUCAUCAAAUUUUUGAACGCAAAUUGCACUCUCUGGUAUUCCGGAGAGUAUGCCUGUUUGGGGGUCAGUUAAAAUAACAAUCGGUGUUGUUGCUUCCUUUCGUGUUGACGCACCCGAUUUGGGUCGUCUUGCCUUCGGUUAAGUGACCUAAAAUUUUGCAUGAUUCUUUCGAACGUAUUUAAAUGAUUUUACGUACGUUUGCGUUAUCGAAUACUAGGUGUGGUCAUCCUUAUGAUUCGCGCCGAUAAUCUUUCAUCAAAAU
This 266-nucleotide unclassified non-coding RNA is filed under the name Glomus sp. RNAcentral's name for it is "partial contains 5.8S ribosomal RNA and internal transcribed spacer 2". The stretch from base 1 to 71 matches the Rfam family "5.8S ribosomal RNA", at positions 84 to 154 of the family's 154-position model. The record is from RNAcentral. Lineage: Eukaryota; Fungi; Glomeromycota; Glomeromycetes; Glomerales; Glomeraceae.